GUACAGGUUUUUGCUCUUUCUCUUCCGGGAGGCUUCGUCAUCAUCCCCAACGGUGUCAGCCCCGCUCAUCUGCGGAGAGAAGACAGACACGAUGCAGUCUGGGCACCCAGGAACUCCUGCCUAAGUAAACAGAGGCUCAGAGACCCAACAUUCCCUGCCACCAGCCCCUUCCAUCCCCAAAGCCCCCACCCGCGGCACACAGGUGAGGGAGGGAAACCCCACUGCUGGGAACAGCCUGGCCAUGAAGUGGAAUCGGCCUGGCAGACUCUCCGGCCACAGGGAUCUCCUCCUGGGACAGUCAGGUCCCCAGCUCACUGGGGAGAAGCCAGACGGCUGGCACUCAGGACAGAGGCUUCAUUGCAGGCAGUGAGCAGGUGAGAGGGCAGGGCUUCUGCUGUGUCACUAGGCCAAUCCCUGCCCCUCUCUAAGCCUCUAUUCCUUAAUUUCUAAAAUCAGGAUCAUAAUGAUUAAGUCAGGAUUCUGAAGUUCAAAGGAGACCUGAGAUGGUCAGCAGUGUAUAAAAUAAAUCAUUACACAGGCCUGAGUGCACCUCUCUUGCCUUAUAGCUUUCCAUGGCUCCCUAGUGCCCUCGGGAUAACAUUCAAACUCCGUAACACGACUGGAUCUACCAUCUUAGGAUCAGGGCAGAAAGUUCCAUUCAGUUAUUCCUUCAGUUAUCUCUCCAGCCUGGCCCCUACUUCAGCAACCUCCUCAACUCUGCCUUCCAACCAACAGAAGGUCUUCAUCUCCAUGUGCAAUUCCUUCCUCGGGGGAUGCUUUUGUGAGUCUCCCACCUGCAUGGAUGGAUGGAUGGAUGGAUGGAUGGAUGGAUGGAUGGAUGGAUAUGUGGAUAGGUGGAUGGAUAGAUGAGUGGAUGGAUGGAUGGAUGGAUGAAUAUAUGGGUGGGUGGGUGGAUAGAUGGAUGGAUGGGUGGAUGGAUGGAUGAGUGGAUGGAUAUAUGAAUGCAUGGGUGAAUAGAUGGAUGGGUGGGUGGGUGGGUGGAUGGUAGAUGAAUGCAUGGGUGAAUAGAUGGAUGGGUGGGUGGGUGGGUGGAUGGAUGAAGGAGUGGAUGAGUGGAUGGAUGGAUGAAUUACACCUUCAUUUAGCUCAUACUAUAGGCCAGACCCUGGAUGGGGCAUAAUUCAGAUACUAUCUCAUUAAACCUCACAAUAAACCUAUAAAGUAAAUAGAGGCUCAGAGAAUUUAAGUCACUUCCCCAAGGAGACCCAGCAUGUAAGUGACAGAGCUGGAAUCUGCCUCAAUUCAAGGCCUGUGUUUCUCCACCAGAGGAUGCUGCUACUCAAAAAUGCAAGGUCAGAACACAUUUUAAUGUUUCCUGUGAAAGACUCGGGAAGUGCUGCCUCCUUCCUGAGAAUGCUGCCCCACCAGAGUUGUAAACAUACAUGUGUGUACGUGCACACAGAGGCACACACCGUAUGGUGUGUGAUUUCAGAGCAAGUGUUUGGAACCAGACCUGGAUAUAAAUCCUGCUUUCACCAACUUUGGCUGCAUCAAUGCCUGCCCAGGGCCUAGUCUGCAAAGGCCCUCCAAAGGGAUUCUCCUUUCCAUCUUCUCCCCACUGUCUCACUAUGUGACCUUGUCCAGCUGAAAAGCAGAUGGAGGUGAGUCCAGGACCAUACAGCCCUUCCUUCACUCCAGGCAGAAUCCCUGGGCCCUGCCCAGCCUCAUCCAGCCACCUCCAGGGACUAGGAGCUCACCACCUCUUGGAACAAUAAUUAUAAUUCUUACUGUAAUUAUAACUGUAAUUAUAGUAAUGAUUAAGAGUGUAGAUUUUUAAUUGCCUGGAUUUGAAGCUUAGCUCAAUCAUUUAUUAGCUCAUUGACCUUAGCUCAGUUACAUCCCUCUCUGUGCCUCAGUUUCCUUAUUUGUAAAAUGCGGGUAAUAACCGGACUUCCCUCAAAGGGCUGUGGUGAGGAUUAUGUAAGUUAACACGGGGACGUGCUCAGCACAGCGCCCAACACACAGCAGUGAGCAAGUACUCUCAGCUAGCAUGGGUUUUGCCAUUAUUUAUUGAGCGUUCACUACAUGUCAGGUGCCGGGCCAAAGUGUUUUAACAUACUUUAUCUCAUUUAAUCUUGGCAACGAUUCUAAGAGCUAGUUACUGAUAUUUCCCCUCAGUGUGCAGCUGAGGAAACAGAUGCCCAGGGCAGUUUGAUAACUGGCCUGGGCUCUCUGAACUAACAAGUAGCAGAGAACUGUGGUCUGGGUCCAGAGCCCACUAGUGACUGAGCGCUCGUCUGUGAGCAGGGCUCAGCUGGUUUCCCUAUUGGUCCUGGUCGGACUUCUGGGGCUCCCUGGCCAUCCAUGGCUGCCCUCUCCGAUCCAGCCCAGGCUGGCAGGCCCCAUGGAACCACGUGGAAACAGUGGAUUUAAACUCUAUACUUACUUGUUUACACAUCCGAAAUAAUUCUUUAGGCUUUUUAAAAAUAGGAGGCUUGAAGGUAUUAUCGUCUUGGAGCUGGAAGGCAUUUUUGGGGUCCUCUCGUCUGAUCUCUGACCUACGUGGGAGCUUAGUGAAACAGGGCUGGCACCCUCUGUGGACCACCUCUGCCCAGGCCAGUCCCCUGCAGGGGAGGAAGGAAGCAGGGCCAGGGAAGGGCUGCAGCCUGUGGUCUCCUCACUGUCAAAGAAUAGCCCAUGACCCUCUGUGCUGAGCCAGAUAGGCUGGACUAGAAUUCAAUGGCAGCAUCCUGGACCCAAACACAAUUAUUCUCCGGGGCUUCCUUGACUCCCCAGGAAGAAGGCCUGUGAUCUGCUCUGCAGGGCCUCCAGGGAGCAGCCAGGAAGGCAGGGGUCUGGCGGCAGGGGGCACCAUGAGACCACUCAACUCAGCACAGGGCGCCACACCCAGGGGAUGGCCAGCUGGAGAACCAUGGCGGGGAGUGGGGGCAGGGGGCUCUCCCUCUCUGGACUCAGUCAGCCCAUCUGUGAGAUCACCAUGGUCGAGCAGACUAUCUCUGAGGUCUGCCUGUUCUGACAUUCCUACUCACAGUAGAAAUUGCUCAGCACAUAAGAGGGCAGGAUAACAGGGGUGUGGACCGGAGACAACGUCGAGACUGAAUGUCACCCUGUGGCAGGCAGCAUGUACUCUGGGCAGCCUCAGCUUAUCCGCACAGCAGCACAAAUGACCAGCCCAAGCUUUCUACGUACUGCGCCCUGGAACCCUUGGGACAACUCCCGGGGGACUCCGUGUUCCAUUAAUAAGAGAAAACCGAAGCUCAGAGAAAGAAGCAACUUGGCCAAGGUCUCAGAGCCAGGGAGGAGGAGGCAGAGCUGAGACUUGAACCUGGGUCUGUCUGACUCCACAGCCUGAACACUUCACCCCUCCCCUCUUCACCUCUUGCCUGGCAUUGCCUAGGAAUAGUGGCCCAUCAGCAUCAGGGGACCCUCCCAGAAGAGCCAGGCCAAAGCCAGGAAGAUAGAAGUCAUGGGGGAACCUGCCACUGUCCCUCUGCCAGUCCCCCACCCCCGGCCCCUCAUCAGCAUGAGGUCUCAGAGUCUAGGGCAGAGCCACAGAGGACUGACUAGACAAUGGUGAGGCCUUGUCCAGUGCCAUCAUCACUUGCUGCUGUGUGGCUGGGGACAAAAUAUCUCUCACUAGCCUCAGCCUCCCACUGUAAGCCAAGUGCCUGUCCACUUUGCAGCAGUGUCAGGAAGGUGAGAAAUGGGGUCUGGUGGUACUUCGAAUGGCGGCACAGCCAGUACUACCCUGGUUACUGCUCUUCUCCCCCUCCCCCUCCACAUAACAUGAUUACCAUUUAUGCAGCACCCACCAGGUGCUGAGCGCCAGGUACUGCCCUAAAUGUUUUACCUGUGUUAAGCUAUUUAAUUUUCCCAGCAACCCUAGGAAGGAGGCAUUAUUACCAUACCCAUUUCACCAAGGAGGAAACUGUGGCUCACAGAGGGGCAGGGACUUGCCCAAGGCCCAGUACCAGUAAGAGAUGGAGCUAGACCACGGUGUUUGUCCCAUCCGGGGCUUCAUCUCCUCUUGACAAGUUUCCUACUGAAGCUACUGGUGGAAGAGGGCAGGAUGUGAAUGGCAAAGGGCUCAGGAACUGGUGUGUGGAAGCCACAUGGAAGGGUGGCCACCACCAGGCUGGGGGCAGCCUCUGAUGUCUCUGCCAGCUCAGCCACUCAAACCCAAGAAAGGAAGUGACCGGCUAAAAGUUGGUGGGACAGGGGAGGGUGCCAGUGGGAACCUUGGGCACCCAAAGGAGGAAGCUGAGACAAGAGAGAGCUGGUCCAGGCCUGCUAGACUCCCAGGCAGGAGUAUGUGUCCCAAAAUAGGAGCCGAGGUCAACUGAGCUGGGGAAUUAGAUAAAUGCAUACAUAUGAAUGUGUGUGAAUUUAUCUGUAUAUAAAUAGUUUUAUUGGAGCAAGUGUGGUGAGGGGAAUAGAACUGGGAAGGGUGUAGUGGGGGAAUCAGGAUUGGGAAGCCCAAGGCAGGUGGGCCUCAACCGCCCUCCAAAGAGGAGUGGCCAGGCCUGAUCUGAAUGAGCCUGAGGCCUUGCCUUGGAAGGACAGCGUUCCGGACUCUCUCCUGUAGAAACCAUCAAGAAAUGGCCUAAGAUGGUGAUAUUCAAACUUUGGCAAGAUCAUGAUCCCUCGGGGCAUGUUUAAAAUAUAGGGUCUGGGCACCACCCCUAGAGAUUCUGAUUCCAGAGUUCUGGGUAUGGGGACUAGGAAUCACAUAUUAAUUACCUCCCCUUGGUGAUUCCGGAGCACACCACAGUGUGAGAACCACACACGCUUACAGAUGAGGAAACGGAGAUUUAGUUCCAAGGCCAAAGUUCAAGACCCUUUUCUGGAGGGCCCCAGCCUGCCCUGUCAGAAUGACUAGCUUUCAGCAGAAGGCAUCUCCCCAGAAGGUAAGUCUGCCUUCUUGCUAGUGGCUAAGAAGCUAAGCAGGCUUCUGAGGACAUGUCCCAACUUGGUGAGGAAGUAUGCUGGAAUCCAUUAAUGAUGUCUGCCAUGGGUUGGAGGGAGGAAUAGCAGCACCUGUGCCAGGCAUCUGCCCUUUAGGAAUGCUCUGCUCUAGCCAAAGAAUGCUUGCCUCUACCUCUCUGUUUAUUCUAAUCCUGUUCAUCCUUCAAGGCCAAGCUGAGAGGUAUCUUCCUCCAGAAGCUUUCCCUGAUGGCUUUAGGCCCUGGGGUCUGUCCUCCUGAAGUUCUAGAUCUCUGAGUCAGUUGUGCUCCAUGGGCACUGAGCACCCCUACUCACCUAGCCUCACACCAACACCUUGCACUGGCUGUUGCAUUUCAAGAGAAGGAGUGGGGCCCAGCAUUCCCUGAGGGCCGCCUCUCAAGCGGCUAGUGUUAUCAGGCACCAGCCUCUUCCAUUCAUCCUCAACCAUUCUGGGAUGUGAGUGCUAUUAACCCCUACUUUUCAGAGAAGAAAACUAUGGCUCAGAGGAGUUGAGUGACUCAACCAAAGCCACAUAGUAAGAAACAGAGCCCAGACCCAAACUAGCUGGUAGGCUUCAAGAUCAUGGCGCAAUCUGUUCACUGUUAGGCCACUUUCAAGGCUCACACAGUUAACUUAUUUCUCUCAGGUUGAGACCAGCCUCACACACUUCUGUGGCUCCUGCCAUGUUGCAGAGCGCAGGGCCUGGUACACAGCAGGAAAUCCAUAAAUACUUAUUCAUCUACAUAUAAAUAUUCACGAGAGGCAAACGGUGUGGUGGUUGGUUAAGAGCACUGGCCCUGGAACCAGAUUCUAAUUCUAGUUCAGACACUGAUACACUGUGUAACCUGGAGCAAGUUAGAUAACCUCUCUUUGCCUCGGUUUCCUCUGCUGUAAAAUGGGCACAAAAAUACUAUCUACUUCAAAGGGCUGUUGUGAGAGUUAAUGAGUUAAUGUAAACUGCUUAGGAUAAUGUGGACACGGAAUAAAUGUGUGUUGUCAUUGUGACUGGCUGAUGGAUUUCUAGUCUGGCUAGGCUGUAACUCUAUUUCUCCAGCUACUAUCUCAGAUCUUUUAAAUCCAAAUACACAAUGGCCUGGGCUAAGCUACACCUGCUCUGCUUUCUGUGGGGACCAGUGGAGCUAUAAGAACACAGCAUCUGGAAUCCUAAAGUCAUGUGUUUAAGUCCAUGCUCUGCCUUCUUGGUCCCAUUGGGCCUCAGUUUUAUCUUCUGUCCAACAGGUGGAAAGUUCGCUGGGAGGCUGCCAGGAUAGUGGGGGUGGAACAUGGUGACUUCUCAUUCCCUGCAGCCCCUGGGCCAGCCCUCCCCACAUUGCAUGUAUCCUUCUCCCUCCCCCUUUAGCUUUCUCACCUUCCUGUGUCCUGUGAAGAAGAGGGAAAGGUGGUGCAUGGAGCCACCAUUGCGGCCCAGCUCUUUCUUGAGGGUGCUGGGCGAAGGCAUG
RNAcentral lists this long non-coding RNA (6386 nucleotides) under Homo sapiens (human). RNAcentral describes it as "HSALNT0154239". The record is from RNAcentral. Lineage: Eukaryota; Metazoa; Chordata; Mammalia; Primates; Hominidae.